AACGAACGCUGGCGGCAGGCCUAACACAUGCAAGUCGAACGCUCGUAGCAAUACGAGAGUGGCAGACGGGUGAGUAACACGUGGGAACCUUCCCUAUGGUUCGGAAUAGCUCAGGGAAACUUGGGGUAAUACCGGAUAAGCCCUUCGGGGGAAAGAUUUAUCGCCAUUGGAUGGGCCCGCGUCGGAUUAGCUAGUUGGUGAGGUAACGGCUCACCAAGGCAACGAUCCGUAGCUGGUCUGAGAGGAUGAUCAGCCACACUGGGACUGAGACACGGCCCAGACUCCUACGGGAGGCAGCAGUGGGGAAUAUUGGACAAUGGGCGCAAGCCUGAUCCAGCCAUGCCGCGUGAGUGACGAAGGUCUUCGGAUUGUAAAACUCUUUUGGC
Molecule: ribosomal RNA, 386 nt
Filed under: uncultured bacterium
Lineage: Bacteria
Description: bacterial SSU rRNA
Rfam family: Bacterial small subunit ribosomal RNA
Source: RNAcentral